GAAAGUAAAGAAGGGCGCAUGGCGGAUGCCUUGGCUCUCGGAGGCGAUGAAGGACGUGAUAAGCUGCGAUAAGCUUUGGGGAGGUGCAAAUGACCUUUGAUCCAGAGAUUUCCGAAUGGGACAACCCAAUAUCUUGAAGAGGUAUUAUCCAACGUUGUUGGAGGCUAACGCAGGGAACUGAAACAUCUUAGUACCUGCAGGAAAAGAAAAUAAACAAUGAUUCCCCCAGUAGUGGCGAGCGAACGGGGAACAGCCCAAACCAUCCAUGUUACGGCAUGGGUGGGGUUGUAGGACUACGCCAUUGCAUGAAGACAUCAGAGAAGAACUUUCUGGAAAGAAAGACCAUAGAGCAUGACAGUUGCGUAUUCGAAUGUUGUCGAAGCAUAGUAGUAUCCUGAGUAGCGCGGAGCACGAGGAAUUCUGCGUGAAUCUGCCGGGACCAUCCGGUAAGGCUAAAUACUCCCGAGAGACCGAUAGCGAACCAGUACCGUGAGGGAAAGGUGAAAAGCACUUCGAACAGAAGAGUGAAAUAGUUCCUGAAACCGUGCGCCUACAAGCGGUCGGAGCUCGUUAAUGAGUGACGGCGUGCCUUUUGCAUAAUGAACCUACGAGUUGCCUUUGCCGGCAAGGUUAAGUGUGACGACACACGUAUCCGAAGCGAAAGCGAGUCUGAACAGGGCGUAUAGUCGGCAGUGGCAGACGCGAAACCAAGUGAUCUACCCUUGGCCAGGUUGAAGGCUGGGUAACACCAGCUGGAGGACCGCACCAAUAAGCGUUGAAAAGCUUCUGGAUGAGCUGAGGGUAGGGGUGAAAGGCUAAUCAAACUUGGAGAUAGCUCGUACUCCCCGAAAUGCAUUUAGGUGCAGCCUUGCGGGUUACUGAUGUGAGGUAGAGCGACUGAUAAGAUGCGAGGGCUUCACCGCCUAUCAAGUCUUGACAAACUCCGAAUGCGCAUCAGUUCUACCGCAGGAGUGAGGGCAUGGGUGCUAAGGUCCGUGCCCGAGAGGAGAAGAAUCCGGACCACCUGCUAAGGUCCCGAAAUGACAGCUAAGUUAAACUAACGAAGUCUGACUGCUAAGACAGCUAGGAUGUUGGCUUGGAAGCAGCCAUUCAUUUAAAGAGUGCGUAACAGCUCACUAGUCGAGGAGUCGGGCGUGGAUAAUAAUCGGGUAUUAAGUUGUCUACCGAAGCAGUGGGAUCAUUAAUAUGAUCGGUAGGGGAGCAUUCCAGUCAGCGUCGAAGGCGUACCGUGAGGUAUUCUGGAGCGUCUGGAAAAGCAAAUGUAGGUAUAAGUAACGAUAAAGGGGGCGGGAAACCCCCUCGCCGAAAGACUAAGGUUUCCUGAUCAACGCUAAUCGGAUCAGGGUCAGUCGGGUCCUAAGGCUCAGCCGAACGGCGAUGCCGAUGGCAGAAACGGUUAAUAUUCCGUUACUACCUUCAGGAGUGACGUGGAGACGCAGUAGUGACAGUGCCGCCAUCUGACGGAAUAGAUGGUUGAAGGGUGUAGGAGUCGAUCAUGGCAGGCAAAUCCACCAUGAGAUCCGAACCUGACAGUAUGCCGCGUCCUUCGGGACAAGGCAAUAGUGCGCGUAAGCAUGCUGCCGAGAAAAUCCGCUAAACUUAAUCCUGCAGGUACCCGUACCGCAAACGGACACACGUAGUCGGGAUGAAUAUUCUAAGGCGCUUGAGUGAUUCACGGUUAAGGAACUAGGCAAACUGACCCUGUAACUUCGGGAUAAAGGGUCCCUACCCUUUUAUGGGAGGGCGCAGAGAAUCGGUCCAGGCAACUGUUUAACAAAAACACAGGGCUGUGCCAAAUCGAAAGAUCCAGUAUACAGCCUGACACCUGCCCGGUGCUGGAAGGUUAAGAGGAGAUGUCAUCGAUAAGAGAAGCGUUGAAUUGAAGCCCCAGUAAACGGCGGCCGUAACUAUAACGGUCCUAAGGUAGCGAAAUUCCUUGUC
This 1962-nucleotide ribosomal RNA is filed under the name human gut metagenome. RNAcentral's name for it is "bacterial LSU rRNA". It matches the Rfam family "Bacterial large subunit ribosomal RNA", at positions 1 to 1973 of the family's 2925-position model. The record is from RNAcentral.